This 1301-nucleotide ribosomal RNA is filed under the name metagenome. RNAcentral's name for it is "bacterial LSU rRNA". It matches the Rfam family "Bacterial large subunit ribosomal RNA", at positions 1634 to 2925 of the family's 2925-position model. The record is from RNAcentral.
CUACACGACCGUACCGCAAACCGACACUGGUGCGCGAGAUGAGUAUUCUAAGGCGCUUGAGAGAACUCAGGAGAAGGAACUCGGCAAAUUGACACCGUAACUUCGGAAGAAGGUGUGCCUUUAGUAGGUGAACCUGUACAAGGGGAGCCCAAUGAGGUUGCAAAAAAUCGGUGGCUGCGACUGUUUAAUAAAAACACAGCACUCUGCAAACACGAAAGUGGACGUAUAGGGUGUGACGCCUGCCCGGUGCUGGAAGAUUAAAUGAUGGGGUGCAAGCUCUUGAUUGAAGUCCCAGUAAACGGCGGCCGUAACGAUAACGGUCCUAAGGUAGCGAAAUUCCUUGUCGGGUAAGUUCCGACCUGCACGAAUGGCGUAACGAUGGCCACACUGUCUCCUCCUGAGACUCAGCGAAGUUGAAAUGUUUGUGAUGAUGCAAUCUCCCCGCGGAAAGACGGAAAGACCCCAUGAACCUUUACUGUAGCUUUGUAUUGGACUUUGAACAGAUCUGUGUAGGAUAGGUGGGAGGCUUUGAAGUGUGGUCGCUAGAUCGCAUGGAGCCAACGUUGAAAUACCACCCUGGUGUGUUUGAGGUUCUAACCUAGGCCCGUAAUCCGGGUCGGGGACAGUGCAUGGUAGGCAGUUUGACUGGGGCGGUCUCCUCCCAAAGCGUAACGGAGGAGUUCGAAGGUACGCUAGGUACGGUCGGACAUCGUGCUAAUAGUGCAAUGGCAUAAGCGUGCUUAACUGCGAGACUGACAAGUCGAGCAGAUGCGAAAGCAGGACAUAGUGAUCCGGUGGUUCUGUAUGGAAGGGCCAUCGCUCAACGGAUAAAAGGUACUCUGGGGAUAACAGGCUGAUACCGCCCAAGAGUUCAUAUCGACGGCGGUGUUUGGCACCUCGAUGUCGGCUCAUCUCAUCCUGGGGCUGUAGCCGGUCCCAAGGGUAUGGCUGUUCGCCAUUUAAAGAGGUACGUGAGCUGGGUUUAAAACGUCGUGAGACAGUUUGGUCCCUAUCUUCCGUGGGCGCUGCAGAUUUGAGGAAGCCUGCUCCUAGUACGAGAGGACCGGAGUGGACACACCUCUGGUGUAUCGGUUGUCACGCCAGUGGCAUUGCCGAGUAGCUAUGUGUGGAAGAGAUAACCGCUGAAAGCAUCUAAGCGGGAAACUCGUUUCAAGAUGAGAUCUGCCGGGGCCUUGAGCCCCCUAAAGAGUCGUUCAAGACCAGGACGUUGAUAGGUCGGGUGUGGAAGCGCAGUAAUGCGUUAAGCUAACCGAUACUAAUUGCUCGUGCGGCUUGACCCU